CGACGGGGGCUUGUAUUACAGGCUGAGAUAGGGGUAGUGACCCCGUACCGUAGACCUGAUCUGGGUAAUGCCAACGUAGGGACGAGCCGAUA
This 92-nucleotide non-coding RNA is filed under the name uncultured Ruminococcus sp. The record is from RNAcentral. Lineage: Bacteria; Bacillati; Bacillota; Clostridia; Eubacteriales; Oscillospiraceae.